CAAUAGUCAUAGUUGUGAAUAUACAUAAUUUUUUCUCACAUAACGAGUAACAACGAUUAUUACCUAUUCGAAAUUCGAUCAUACAGCAGACGAUAAGUACAUACGUACAAAUACUCUGAAACAGAGAUUUGAUAAAGACAGAAAUUAAAUUUUUAUUCCAGUGGAAUACAAAUUAUUAAAUAAUUCUAUAUAAUUUCUAUUUGAACUAUACUGAACUAUAAAGUUCAAACGUGUAAUUUCUGCCCUAACAGUUUUUGAUCUCUAUCCAUAUUAUUACUCCUAUAUCAAUUUUUUAUUUCAAGCAAAAAGAUACUCUUCCUAACAUGAAGUAAAAGAAAGAAAUAAUUCAAGUUAAUAAGUAAAGUUACUACCGAUAAAAUCAUAGCAUUAUUAUUUAGUCUAAUUGAAAUGUACAUUGAUGUGCUGUUUAAUGCCUUUAAAUUAGUCAUCAUGUUGAUAAUAAUUAUCUAAAGAAACUUUUCACGUGAAAAUAUAAAAUUUUAAUUGAUUAGAUAUUGUGUUAGCCAUACUUAAGAAAGAAAAUGAAAAUGAAUGAAAUGAAAGAAAAGGACUACCUUCAACCUCAUUUUUUAAAUAAACACUUUGUCAGUUUUUCGGUAAAUAAAUUCUUAGGAAUUCAGGACAGUUUUUAGUGAAUCAUUUUGUUUCGACCGUUCGCGGAGAGACGCGAUCGCGAGAUAGCACGUCAACGAGAGUUGUAAGUUCCCGUUACGAUUAAAUAAUCGACGCCACGAACUGAUCGAUCCCCUUAUUUCGAUUAUGAUAAUAAGGGUAGUUCAAUGAAAUUCCACAGAAUUAACACAAAUAAAUUAAUGUUUAUUUCAACAACUUAUUAACUAGAAAGAUAUAAAUGGAACAAAAAAAAUGUAACUGCGUUUUGGUUGAUAAGUAAUGCGCGACAUACCACAUGUGUUGACGGUUCGACUUCUCGAAAAGUUCUGAACGCCUUUCGAUUUUUUUCGUUUUUUC
This is a long non-coding RNA of Bombus huntii, 990 nucleotides long. RefSeq lists it as uncharacterized. The record is from RefSeq and is a predicted model, not a curated record. NCBI's taxonomy places the organism in Eukaryota, Metazoa, Arthropoda, Insecta, Hymenoptera, Apidae. The transcript has 2 exons.